This 253-nucleotide ribosomal RNA is filed under the name uncultured bacterium. RNAcentral's name for it is "partial 16S ribosomal RNA". It matches the Rfam family "Bacterial small subunit ribosomal RNA", at positions 524 to 776 of the family's 1533-position model. The record is from RNAcentral.
UACGUAGGGGGCAAGCGUUGUCCGGAUUUAUUGGGCGUAAAGAGCUCGUAGGCGGUUCAGUAAGUCGGGUGUGAAAACUCUGGGCUUAACCCGGAGAGGCCACUCGAUACUGCUGAACUUGAGUACGGUAGGGGAGUGGGGAAUUCCUGGUGUAGCGGUGAAAUGCGCAGAUAUCAGGAGGAACACCGGUGGCGAAGGCGCCACUCUGGGCCGAAACUGACGCUGAGGAGCGAAAGCGUGGGUAGCAAACAGG